RNAcentral lists this ribosomal RNA (319 nucleotides) under uncultured eukaryote. Its description in RNAcentral is "partial 18S ribosomal RNA". It matches the Rfam family "Eukaryotic small subunit ribosomal RNA", at positions 1470 to 1796 of the family's 1831-position model. The record is from RNAcentral.
CCCUUAGAUGUUCUGGGCAGCACGCGCGCUACAAUGGUCUUCGCAAACGGAUGCAUUCUCGAAGGAGAAUGCCAAUCUUGGAAUUUAUGCCUUGGUCGGGACAGUUGCUUGCAAUUUUUCGACUCGAACCAGGAAUUCCUUGUAAUCGUGAUUCAUCACAUCACGAUGAAUACGUCCCUGCCCUUUGUACACACCGCCCGUCGCUCCUACCGAUCGAAGAGUUAGGUGAAUUGUUUUGAUCGAUAAGAUUUGACUAUGGUCAACUCUCGUUGUGAAAUUCUGUGAAUCUGACUGUUUAGAGGAAGGAAAAGUCGUAACA